RNAcentral lists this transfer-messenger RNA (357 nucleotides) under marine eukaryotic metagenome. It matches the Rfam family "transfer-messenger RNA". From Rfam's summary of the family: Bacterial tmRNA, also known as 10Sa RNA or SsrA, is named for its dual tRNA and mRNA-like properties. The record is from RNAcentral.
GGGGGCGACAUGGCUUCGACGUGGAUGUUGAAACCCGAGGUGCAUGCCGAGCUGCAAUCUGCUCGUAAAACGACUGCAAAACUAAGCUAGUUGCAAACGAUAACAACUACGCCCUAGCAGCUUAAACCCUGCUAGUGUCCGCCCGGUAAGUGCUUAUGCUUCUGGAUACGGGCAUCGACUCACAUAAGCUCGUGGUGAUUCAGGUCUCUGGUCGAUCCAUUAAAACUUAGUGAGAAUAAGUUCUGGUCUUCCCUGCCCUUCGGGUAGCCAGCGCCGACAAUUAAAGAACGGGCUAAGCAUGUAGAGCUGACGGCGGAAGAUUUGCGGACGCGGGUUCAAUUCCCGCCGCCUCCACCA